GACGAACGCUGGCGGCGUGCUUAACACAUGCAAGUCGAACGAUGAAGAAGAGCUUGCUCUUCGGAUUAGUGGCGAACGGGUGAGUAACACGUGACUAACCUGCCCCUUUCUCUGGGAUAACGCUCCGAAAGGAGUGCUAAUACCGGAUACUCACAUCGAGGCACAUGCCUUGAUGUGGAAAGUUUUUCGGAAAGGGAUGGAGUCGCGGCCUAUCAGCUUGUUGGUGAGGUAACGGCGCACCAAGGCGACGACGGGUAGCCGGCCUGAGAGGGCGACCGGCCACACUGGGACUGAGACACGGCCCAGACUCCUACGGGAGGCAGCAGUGGGGAAUAUUGCACAAUGGGCGAAAGCCUGAUGCAGCGACGCCGCGUGAGGGAUGAAGGUCUUCGGAUUGUAAACCUCUUUCAGUAGGGACGAAGCGAAAGUGACGGUACCUAAAGAAGAAGCACCGGCUAACUACGUGCCAGCCGCCGCCGUAA
Molecule: ribosomal RNA, 482 nt
Filed under: uncultured bacterium
Lineage: Bacteria
Description: partial 16S ribosomal RNA
Rfam family: Bacterial small subunit ribosomal RNA
Source: RNAcentral